UCGAGCUCGAGGCGGAAGUCCCGGAAGGCGCACUUCACGGCGCCGUCGAGCGUCCGGCGGGUGCUGAUGAGCGCGCCGCUGUCGGCCGACCUCCGCAACAAGUACAACGUGCGGUCGGUCCCCGUGCGCAAGGAUGACGAGGUGCAGGUGGUGCGCGGCACCUUCAAGGGCCGCGAGGGCAAGGUCGUGCAGGUCUACCGCCGGAAGUGGGUCAUCCACGUCGAGCGCAUCACCCGCGAAAAGGUGAACGGCUCCACCGUCAACGUCGGCAUCAACCCGUCCAAGGUCGUGAUCGUUAAGCUCAAGCUCGACAAGGACCGCAAGGCCCUCCUCGAUCGCAAGGCCCGCGGCCGUGCCGCCGACAAGGCUAAGGGCAAGUUUUCUGCUGAGGAAGUCGCCGCCGCCGCUGCUGGUGCGCCAUCUCUUCAGGAGAUCGACUGAUCUAGACGAUCCGAUGCUUGUUCGACCCGAUCGGUCCGCCCUCACUCACUUACCUACUGGAUUUCUGCC
This 510-nucleotide long non-coding RNA is filed under the name Musa acuminata (dwarf banana). Its description in RNAcentral is "long non-coding RNA (MACU_LNC001039)". Lineage: Eukaryota; Viridiplantae; Streptophyta; Magnoliopsida; Zingiberales; Musaceae. The record is from RNAcentral.